RNAcentral lists this ribosomal RNA (348 nucleotides) under Variovorax sp. Its description in RNAcentral is "bacterial SSU rRNA". It matches the Rfam family "Bacterial small subunit ribosomal RNA", at positions 1151 to 1498 of the family's 1533-position model. Lineage: Bacteria; Pseudomonadati; Pseudomonadota; Betaproteobacteria; Burkholderiales; Comamonadaceae. The record is from RNAcentral.
GCCGGUGACAAACCGGAGGAAGGUGGGGAUGACGUCAAGUCCUCAUGGCCCUUAUAGGUGGGGCUACACACGUCAUACAAUGGCUGGUACAAAGGGUUGCCAACCCGCGAGGGGGAGCUAAUCCCAUAAAACCAGUCGUAGUCCGGAUCGCAGUCUGCAACUCGACUGCGUGAAGUCGGAAUCGCUAGUAAUCGUGGAUCAGAAUGUCACGGUGAAUACGUUCCCGGGUCUUGUACACACCGCCCGUCACACCAUGGGAGCGGGUUCUGCCAGAAGUAGUUAGCUUAACCGCAAGGAGGGCGAUUACCACGGCAGGGUUCGUGACUGGGGUGAAGUCGUAACAAGGUA